UGAGCAACCUGCCUUUCAGAGGGGGAUAACGUUUGGAAACGAACGCUAAUACCGCAUAAAAUAUCCAGCAGGCAUCUGCAGGAUAUCAAAGGAGUAAUCCGCUGAAAGAUGGGCUCGCGACCGAUUAGCUAGAUGGUGAGGUAACGGCUCACCAUGGCGACGAUCGGUAGCCGGACUGAGAGGUUGACCGGCCACAUUGGGACUGAGACACGGCCCAGACUCCUACGGGAGGCAGCAG
Molecule: ribosomal RNA, 238 nt
Filed under: uncultured bacterium
Lineage: Bacteria
Description: partial 16S ribosomal RNA
Rfam family: Bacterial small subunit ribosomal RNA
Source: RNAcentral